GUUGUAGCUGGCCGAAAGGCAUGUGCACGCCCCGUAACCAAACCAACCACCGUGCACCUUUUGUAGGUUGGGCCUUCGGGCUCUUCCUAUGUAUCACACAAACCAAUCGUAUGUCUAUUGAAUGUAAACCUGAAGCGUGGAAACACGUUUAAAAGCUUAAACAACUUUCAACAACGGAUCUCUUGGCUCUCGCAUCGAUGAAGAAC
Molecule: unclassified non-coding RNA, 206 nt
Filed under: Jaapia ochroleuca
Lineage: Eukaryota; Fungi; Basidiomycota; Agaricomycetes; Jaapiales; Jaapiaceae
Description: sequence contains ITS1, 5.8S rRNA gene
Rfam family: 5.8S ribosomal RNA (bases 163-206)
Source: RNAcentral